This 72-nucleotide transfer RNA is filed under the name Phoenicopterus ruber ruber. It matches the Rfam family "tRNA". Rfam says of the family: Transfer RNA (tRNA) molecules are approximately 80 nucleotides in length. Their secondary structure includes four short double-helical elements and three loops (D, anti-codon, and T loops). Further hydrogen bonds mediate the characteristic L-shaped molecular structure. tRNAs have two regions of fundamental functional importance: the anti-codon, which is responsible for specific mRNA codon recognition, and the 3' end, to which the tRNAs corresponding amino acid is attached (by aminoacyl-tRNA synthetases). tRNAs cope with the degeneracy of the genetic code in two manners: having more than one tRNA (with a specific anti-codon) for a particular amino acid; and 'wobble' base-pairing, i.e. permitting non-standard base-pairing at the 3rd anti-codon position. Lineage: Eukaryota; Metazoa; Chordata; Aves; Phoenicopteriformes; Phoenicopteridae. The record is from Rfam by way of RNAcentral.
GCCUGGCAAGCUCAGUUGGUAGAGCAUGAGAUUUUAAUCUCGAGGUCAGGGGUUUGAGCCCCAUGCUGGGUG